AUUGAACGCUGGCGGAAUGCUUUACACAUGCAAGUCGAACGGCAGCACGGACUUCGGUCUGGUGGCGAGUGGCGAACGGGUGAGUAAUAUAUCGGAACGUGCCCAGUCGUGGGGGAUAACGUAGCGAAAGUUACGCUAAUACCGCAUACGAUCUACGGAUGAAAGCGGGGGAUCGCAAGACCUCGCGCGAUUGGAGCGGCCGAUAUCAGAUUAGGUAGUUGGAGGGGUAAAGGCUCACCAAGCCAACGAUCUGUAGCUGGUCUGAGAGGACGACCAGCCACACUGGAACUGAGACACGGUCCAGACUCCUACGGGAGGCAGCAGUGGGGAAUUUUGGACAAUGGACGCAAGUCUGAUCCAGCCAUUCCGCGUGCAGGAUGAAGGCCCUCGGGUUGUAAACUGCUUUUGUACAGAACGAAAAGGCUCUUCCUAAUACGGAGGGCUCAUGACGGUACUGUAAGAAUAAGCACCGGCUAACUACGUGCCAGCAGCCGCGGUAA
This 500-nucleotide ribosomal RNA is filed under the name uncultured bacterium. RNAcentral's name for it is "partial 16S ribosomal RNA". It matches the Rfam family "Bacterial small subunit ribosomal RNA", at positions 30 to 523 of the family's 1533-position model. The record is from RNAcentral.